GUUCCAUGAUUUGAGGUGUAGAGGGAAUGUGGGCUCGUUAUUGACGUGUAAUUACUAGCUUACUAGCUACUAUAUACGCGUAAAAAAUUUACUACUUUUACAUCAUUGUUAACUGAGUACUGAAUGCCUUAGCUUUCAGCUUUUCACAUCGGAGUAUUCAAAAGAAUCCAUUAUUACCAGAAUUAAAGGCUUAAGAGCUACCACAAUCUGAGGACAAGUAUUUUCAUAAAUAACGAACGACACUUCAUUUAUUGCAAAUUCAGAUUCGAUUAAUUGACUUGAAUUGCCAUUGACUUGCUAGUCCUUCCCAAGACCGACCGACCAAAAAAUAAAAUCGAGCUUUUGCCGAAAACACAGGUCCAUUUGAAUCGAGCUUUUGCCGAAACCGACCAAAAAAUCCUCCAUCACUCUAAUAAUGAAAACUGAAACACAGGUCCAUCUUUCUGAUGUAAGUAAUAAAAAAAAAAUGUUCAUAC
This 476-nucleotide long non-coding RNA is filed under the name Eutrema salsugineum. RNAcentral describes it as "long non-coding RNA (ESAL_LNC001168)". Lineage: Eukaryota; Viridiplantae; Streptophyta; Magnoliopsida; Brassicales; Brassicaceae. The record is from RNAcentral.